AUAAACCCGGGAAACUGGGUAUAAUACCCGAUAGAUCUUGGCUGCUGGAAUGCAUCGAGCUCUAAAGCUCCGGCGCCUGAGGAUGGGUCUGCGGCCUAUCAGGUAGUAGUGGGUGUAGCGUACCUACUAGCCUACGACGGGUACGGGUUGUGGGAGCAAGAGCCCGGAGAUGGAUUCUGAGACACGAAUCCAGGCCCUACGGGGCGCAGCAGGCGCGAAAACUUUACAAUGCGGGAAACCGUGAUAAGGGAACUCCGAGUGCCCGUAAAAUCGGGCUGUCCAUCUGUUUAAAUAACAGGUGAAGAAAGGGCCGGGCAAGACCGGUGCCAGCCGCCGCGGUAAUACCGGCGGCUCGAGUGGUGGCCACUAUUACUGGGCUUAAAGCGUUCGUAGCUGGUCUGUUAAGUCUCUGGGGAAAUCUACUGGCUUAACCAAUAGGCGUCUCAGGGAUACUGGCAGACUAGGGACCGGGAGAGGUGAGAGGUACUCCAGGGGUAGGAGUGAAAUCCUGUAAUCCUUGGGGGACCACCUGUGGCGAAGGCGUCUCACCAGAACGGCUCCGACAGUGAGGGACGAAAGCUGGGGGAGCAAACCGGAUUAGAUACCCGGGUAGUCCCAGCCGUAAACGAUGCGCGUUAGGUGUAUCGGUGACCACGAGUCACCGACGUGCCGAAGAGAAAUCGUGAAACGUGCCGCCUGGGAAGU
RNAcentral lists this ribosomal RNA (705 nucleotides) under uncultured Methanomicrobiales archaeon. Its description in RNAcentral is "bacterial SSU rRNA". It matches the Rfam family "Archaeal small subunit ribosomal RNA", at positions 126 to 836 of the family's 1478-position model. The record is from RNAcentral. Lineage: Archaea; Methanobacteriati; Methanobacteriota; Methanomicrobia; Methanomicrobiales.